UGGGGAAUAUUGGACAAUGGGGGCAACCCUGAUCCAGCCAUGCCGCGUGUGUGAAGAAGGCCUUCGGGUUGUAAAGCACUUUAAGUUGGGAGGAAAGGGUUAUGGCUAAUAUCCAUGAUCUGUGACGUUACCAACAGAAUAAGCACCGGCUAACUCCGUGCCAGCAGCCGCGGUAAUACGGAGGGUGCAAGCGUUAAUCGGAAUUACUGGGCGUAAAGCGCGCGUAGGCGGCUCGUUAAGCUAGAUGUGAAAUCCCUGGGCUCAACCUGGGAACUGCAUUUAGAACUGACGAGCUAGAGUGCAGAAGAGGAGUGUGGAAUUUCCGGUGUAGCGGUGAAAUGCGUAGAGAUCGGAAGGAACAUCAGUGGCGAAGGCGACACUCUGGUCUGACACUGACGCU
RNAcentral lists this ribosomal RNA (400 nucleotides) under uncultured bacterium. RNAcentral's name for it is "bacterial SSU rRNA". It matches the Rfam family "Bacterial small subunit ribosomal RNA", at positions 355 to 747 of the family's 1533-position model. The record is from RNAcentral.